RNAcentral lists this long non-coding RNA (4079 nucleotides) under Triticum aestivum (bread wheat). RNAcentral describes it as "long non-coding RNA (TAES_LNC004964)". The record is from RNAcentral. Lineage: Eukaryota; Viridiplantae; Streptophyta; Magnoliopsida; Poales; Poaceae.
GAACAUGUUCUGUUUCCUGACGGCUAGUGGCACUCAGGACCAUACCUUCAAGAAUGAGCUCUACAUAUCCAUGAUGGCUGGCUUCGUCAGGAAAGAAUUAAAACGGUCCUCAGGAAUGAACCAAGAGAAAAUAAAAAUAUUAUUGGAAAGCGGUAUAUAUAUUCACAGCCACAUGCCAAAUCAUUUCACAUUCAUGCAUACACAAAGAUCAUAUAACCCUGUUUAAAAUCACAUCCAAUUCCUAGGUCACAAUGUACCCAUCCAAUUUAUUUAAAUCUGGUUAUUCACAAGAUCUACAUAUUCAUAUCCAAGUCAUGAUUCAUGGAGCCUUAACUUAACAGGAGGUGUCACCAAAUACGAAACACGCAUACUGGUUGAUUCCUAAAUUGCCAAGAGAAGCAAUUGACAAAGAAAGCCUACCUGCACCCUAUUUCACAAUAUUAACAACUAAUUAUACUACUGGAAUUUCUAAAUGUUGGAGUAGAACUAUGCUCAUGCACAUGAGUAGCAUGAGGAUGGUCUUCCAUCAUGGGAAGAUUCUGUUAAUGGAGUGCAUUCCCUUGGGCUUGGAAUGUUCCAUUCACCUAUACAAUAGAAAAAUAUAGGAGAUUUUAAUGAACAACGGUGAAAGGCAAAACUGUGAUAUGUACAAGCUUUCAAACCAAAAGGUAAACUACAGCUCAUGACUUUUCUUAUUACCAAGUAUAGGCUGCAAUUAAAUGUAACAUGAACAUAAUUAAAAAAAGGCAAGAAAAAUUAAAUGAUUGCCAUCCAAUGCCCUAUACCCAUAGUUUUUAUGGCAAAUGAAAAUUUUUCAUGACCAACCACCUUCACAACUUUACGUGGUAGCAAAAAAAUCAUCACUUCAUAGGAAAAAUCUAAGUAUGACAAGCACUAAACUGCAUGUACAGAACUAGCACUACAUGUAGAAAACUAGCAGUAAGCGUCAUAUUUAUAGCUUUGCAAUGCAAGUUCCGAACAUCGGUAGUUUAACAUUACUACAAGAACUUGCUGUAUCUCAAGUAAGGACAAAACAUGGGCAUGAGCUAAAACAGUUGGGGAGCCUAAACAAGCUGCAAGGUAAUCUGAAAAUUCAUCAUCUUGAAUAUGUCAAAAACAAGAAGGAAGCAGACGAUGCAAAGCUAGCUGAUAAGAAAAGACUAAUAUGACUGGAACUGUCCUGGGGUGGUUCCUUACAGACUUGCUCACCAGAAGUUCAAGUGGAGGUGCUCAAGGGCGUUCGCCCACCCAAGGGUCUUACAAGGCUAUGUCUCCAUCACCACUACGCCCAGUACCUGGAACGAUUUCUUCUCAGAAGCUAUAUUCAUGAAGGAAAUUAGAAUAACUGGAGACAUACUCAUAAAUGCAGUCCUUAGAUAUAAUAUUAAGAGUUUAAGACAAUGUUUUUUUGUUGCAAGAACACAUUAAUGAAAACUGACUGGAAUAGAAAUUAGAAACUCUAAAUGAUCUAUAAAUGGAUCUCACCAGUCAUAGUGAAUCAUUUCCUAAAAUUAUAAGCUAACAUGUACAGAGAACAUAUUUAAUUUUGUAUGACAACUUAAAUCAUGAACUAAGUUAUACUGACUACAUGGUUGCAGUACACAACCACUUAAGAAGGCAGCAACCACUAACUGAAAUACACAAACACUUGGGCAGCAUGAACAAGUUUACAAACCAAAAGGAAACUUCAGUUCACGACACACACAUGUUGUUAUCCACCAAGCAAGUGAAGAAGUCUUUUAUUAAAGCUAAGUGUAGGCUGCACUUAUGAAGAGCUAACAGGAACAUAAUGUACAAGGAAGAAAAGGAAAUAAAAUAAAUGUUUAUAAUCCAAUCCAAACUGAAAGCCAAGACCAUGCACCUUUCGUACUUGAACUUGCUCCUCUACUUGUUGAGGUUGUCAAAUAUUUUAAUACAUGAAUAAAAUGUCAAUACCAUGAAGGGGAGCCUUGGCGCAGUGGUAAAGCUGCUGCCUUGUGACCAUGAGGUCAUGGGUUCAAGUCCUGGAAACAGCCUCUUACAGAAAUGUAGGGAAAGGCUGCGUACUAUAGACCCAAAGUGGUCGGACCCUUCCCUGGACCCUGCGCAAGCGGGAGCUACAUGCACCAGGUUGCCCUUUUUAAUAAAAUGUCAAUGCCAUGCACAUUCGAAACCAUUCCAGCUUGCUAUAUAGCAUCUAUAGUGCGACAAACAGUUAGGUUUAUGUGCAAAUCAUCAACAAGACCUAUAGCACAAUCAGAGCAAAUAUGUGUAAAAGACAUAUAUAUGCAGUUGUGCACUGCACUGGCACUACACUACAAGGACAGAACUAGCACCACAUUUACACAGAAAGAAACAGAGCAGCACAUAAGCAAGCAGCAACCACUAAUUGAAAUACACAGGCACUGAUUAAAUAGAUUGUUUCAUAUCAUAAAUUAUUAACACAUGAACUAGUUUAAUGCAUCCCUGUUUUGAUGACACCACAAUCUUACAUGCACUAUACUACAUUGCUCUACUUGUAUAAUUCAGCUGCAGUUUACUUUGCUAACCAUAGAAGUAACAUGAUCACAACCAUUGUUAAGUUUGUGCAUAGAGGAAUUGGGGAUCAUAACAACAACUUACCGUAUCACUAUCAUCCAUCUUCUAAUCUUGAAAAGGAAGAAGCUCUUGGGUAUUUCUUAUCCAUCUUGCUAUAUACCAACUAUAGUGCAACAAAUGGUAUAUAUCCUGUCUUGGGGUAGAACCAUGCUCAUCCAGAUGAGUAGCAUGAACAUGGCCUUCAGCAUGGGAAGGAUCUGCCAGCAGAGUACCGGCAUCCUCUUGGGCUUGGAAGGAUCAAUUCACCUACAAUGGAAAAGAAUAUAGCAUAUUUCAAUGAACAAUGGUGAAAGGCAAAACUGUAAUAUAUGUAUACAAGUUUUCAAACACAAAGGUAAACUCCAGCUCAUGACACACAUGCUAUUAGUCACCAAACAAAUGAAAAGGUCUUUUCUUGGUGCCAAGUGCAGACUGCAACUAUGAAGAAGUACCAGGAACAUAACUUUGAAGAUCGAGAUGACGUUCCUUCCAAUAUGCUGGAUGUGCGUCUUGAAGAUGCUUUGUGGUGGGUUCUUCUGAAACCAUGGACAUAGCAUGUCGCUUUAAUUUCAGAUUAACAAUAAUUGUAGUGUUCAAGUUUGUUGCUGCUGCAGGCCCAUACUUUCUUUCCUACAUAUGAAAACAUGCUCUUUCAACAAACUUUCCAUGAGUGGAACUUACCAACAUGCCUGGAUUGGACUUCUUGAUCGAGAGGGUUGUGGUGUGGCAAUGUCACUUCUCAAACUUGGCCUUUGUAGCGCUACAACUUCCUGAUUUUGUAAGACCUUCAAUGAAGAGAAAACAAUAAAGCAUGCAUACGUAAACUGCACCUUCCUGAACAGGGGGCAUAACCUACAGCUUGCAGGUAUUGACAUGCAUACAGAUAUGUAUCACAACUCAUCAAUGAGACCAAUUGAGGAACAACCCGAUUUAAUGUAUGCACAAACUUAAAAUUGCGCAGCACACUACCUAGAUAGAUGGUGACUAUAAUACCCCAUGGCUGUUGCACUCAAUCCUUUCAGAAGAACAACAAAACAUCAUUGUUUUAAUCUCAAUAAGAGUGUACUAAACAAUGAACAUAUUGCUGCAGCACAUGUAAAUUAUUUGGAAUAGAAAUAGAUGGGGAGGGGGGAGGAGAAGACGGGCACUCACUGGUCGGGGAGGGAGCCACCUCCACACGGCGACGGAGGUGGAUCUGGAAGUUCGCCGGCCAGGGACGCGGAUCUGGAAGUUCGCCGGCCAGGGAGGCGGAUCUGGAAGUCGCCGGCGAUGGGGGCCGCGCUAGAUGGGGAGGGAGGCUGUGCUGGAGGCGUGGAGUCGGUGCUCAACGGCGAUGUGGGCGGCGCUCGAUGGGGAGGGAGUCGGCGGAUCAGAACUGGACGGUGGACACGGGGGCAAGCGGCGGCGCUGGUCGUGGGAGUGGGAGGAGCAGACCGAUGGGGGAAGACCGGACCCUGUUUUAGGGAUUUUGACCAAGCGCUCCACACGUGACCACAGCCACGCGGAAAUAUCCGAUAUCCGCG